Eptesicus fuscus (big brown bat) is the source of this 679-nucleotide long non-coding RNA. RefSeq lists it as uncharacterized. The record is from RefSeq and is a predicted model, not a curated record. NCBI's taxonomy places the organism in Eukaryota, Metazoa, Chordata, Mammalia, Chiroptera, Vespertilionidae. The transcript has 6 exons.
AUUUAUACAUCAUCAGCAUUCAUCACAAUGCCCAACACAGAGCAGGUACUCUGUAAAUACCAGCUGAAUCAAUGCAUCAUUCUGCUUUCAGGUCUCCACCAGUCCCUGCAAUCAUGGAGUUGUAAUACCAGUUUGUUCCUGGGAGCAUGACUAUGAAGCAUUUCUAACUCUUUCAUUUUCUGGAUUGUACAUCUUGGAAGAUAAAAUCAUGUCGUUGCACUUUACUUUGUAGAAGAUGGGUUAGUGGUAGAGAAUUAAAUGCAAAGAUUGGAAGUCAUCACUGUCAAGCCUGAAAUCAACCAGAAUGGAAAUAGGUAUUGGAUCUGAACGAUCAAGAUUCUUCUUAAAGGGCACCCCAGAGUCGAGCACAAUGCCUGGCACCAGAGAUGCUGAAUAAACAUUUGUCAGCUGCCUGAUAAAACCCAGCAAUCCAGCAGGUCACAUGCUGAGGAGACUGAUUUCUGUUUAUGUCACUGACUAUGCAGAGCCAGAUCGAGUUGAACAAGCAGCAUGUCUGAAUAGAGUGUUGUAAACACACACACACUGAGAAUCUCACAGGAACCCUGUAAAUGUGAGCACGUCAGCAGGGAGACAUCCAAGUUUUGAGAAAACACCAAACGGCGGAUGACUGCAGGAAGGCCUGAAGGCCCCAGGACCCUGGAAUGAGAUGCUACAGCGG